Molecule: transfer RNA, 73 nt
Filed under: Ovis aries (sheep)
Lineage: Eukaryota; Metazoa; Chordata; Mammalia; Artiodactyla; Bovidae
Rfam family: tRNA
About the family: Transfer RNA (tRNA) molecules are approximately 80 nucleotides in length.
Source: Rfam by way of RNAcentral
UCCCUGGUGGUCUGGUGGCUAAGACUUUGUGCCCCUAAUGUGGGGGACCCAGGUUCGAUUCCUGGUCUGGGAA